This is a long non-coding RNA of Chiroxiphia lanceolata (lance-tailed manakin), 544 nucleotides long. RefSeq lists it as uncharacterized. NCBI's taxonomy places the organism in Eukaryota, Metazoa, Chordata, Aves, Passeriformes, Pipridae. The record is from RefSeq and is a predicted model, not a curated record. The transcript has 2 exons.
GGCCGCCCUCCGCGCCCGAAACAGCGCUCGGGGACCUCCAACUUUGCACCCAAGAGAGGGGACAUACACAUCUAUAUAUAUGUGCAUGUGUGUAUCAGGCGGUUAACAAACCUUGGGGAGAAGGAUGUACUGCUGAUAGUGGACACAAAGAAUGCAGAAUUAUGGGCCACAGGACAUUUGGCAGAACUCCCAAGAUAAGGAAGAAACUAACAAAGCCAACUCAGCAAAUGUGCUGCAAUCAGCUCCGACCGGCAAAAGGUAAUUCUGGCUACAGGAGAUGGUGACCACUGACUCACAGCCCACCGACUCAAAAGAAAAGAAGGACUGAGCAUGUGGCCUAAUUAACAUGAGAAGAAAGGGAAUCAUUAACCAAUAGGAGGUAGAAUACUAACUAUAAGGGAACUAGGCAACUUGUAGCCAAUGAACAUUAAUGCCUUUCUUUGCUAAAAUAUAUAAAUAAUGAAAAGUUUUGGUGGUCGUUACUGGCUUUGUGGAUUUGCCAUCCCUUUCUGUGCAGAACUGUAAAUAAAUCAAAUACCUUGAC